Monodelphis domestica (gray short-tailed opossum) is the source of this 549-nucleotide long non-coding RNA. RefSeq lists it as uncharacterized. NCBI's taxonomy places the organism in Eukaryota, Metazoa, Chordata, Mammalia, Didelphimorphia, Didelphidae. The record is from RefSeq and is a predicted model, not a curated record.
UCUGCAAGUAGAAAACUUGUCAAAAUGCCCUCUGAGGUCUCCGGUUACUCCGGGGAUCCAGUUUCCAUAGCAACAGAACCUCCUCCCGACCAGCGUUCUGUUAGUGUCCGCAUGGGGAGCUGGAAAAAGAGUUCUGCAUGGAUCGGUGGCUGCCCCGGAGAGACAGUCCCAACUCCAGUACCUUGUUUGGUCAGGUUAGAUUGGGAGAUGACACACUAAUUUAAUUUCCUUGUGUAGAAAAUAAGUGAAUGAAGGACCAGAAGAGAUGACAGAAUACAAAGGUGUAGUACAGUUCAGCUCUCAUAACUAUACCAACUAAAGCCAAGGAAGAACACUAGAAGUUGAAGGUCUCAGGAGGUAUAAUGAUGGGGAAACCCAAGGAAGAACCACCUAGUCCAAGACUGAAUUCAUCCACUUGAAGAAUCACCGUCACAGGGACCAUGAUGAAGCCUACAAUUCUGCUGCUGUAGCCCAGGAUUCAAGAUCCUAGAUUUAGCCUAUUUUGGAGUAGGCAGAAAGGGGACUAGAAAAUAAAGGGGUUGGACUUGA